GGGUAAGUAGGUUGGUCGUGCCACCGGUACGUACUGGUCUCACUGAUUCCUCCUUCCUGAAGAACCGUAAUGCCAUUAAUUUGGUGUUGCGGGGAAACAGGACUGUUACUUUGAAAAAAUUAGAGUGUUUAAAGCAAGCUAACGCUUGAAUACAUUAGCAUGGAAUAAUGAAAUAGGACGAUCGAUCCUAUUUUGUUUGUUUCUAGGAUUGACGUA
Molecule: ribosomal RNA, 216 nt
Filed under: Glomeromycotina sp.
Lineage: Eukaryota; Fungi; Glomeromycota
Description: partial small subunit ribosomal RNA
Rfam family: Eukaryotic small subunit ribosomal RNA (bases 40-216)
Source: RNAcentral